This 513-nucleotide ribosomal RNA is filed under the name uncultured bacterium. RNAcentral's name for it is "partial 16S ribosomal RNA". It matches the Rfam family "Bacterial small subunit ribosomal RNA", at positions 28 to 507 of the family's 1533-position model. The record is from RNAcentral.
GACGAACGCUGGCGGCGUGCUUAACACAUGCAAGUCGAACGAAAAGAGGGAAAGAGCUUGCUCUUUCCGGAAUUGAGUGGCAAACGGGUGAGUAACACGUAAACAACCUGCCUUCAGGAUGGGGACAACAGACGGAAACGACUGCUAAUACCGAAUAAGUUCCACGAGCCGCAUGGCCCAUGGAAGAAAAGGUGGCCUCUACCUGUAAGCUAUCGCCUGAAGAGGGGUUUGCGUCUGAUUAGCUGGUUUGAGGGGUAAAGGGCCACCCAGGCGACGAUCAGUAGCCGGUCUGAGAGGGGGAACGGCCCCCAUUGAACUGGGACACGGUCCAGACUCCUUCGGGAGGCAGCAGGGGGGAAUCUUCCGGAAUGGGCGAAAGCCUGACGGAGCAACGCCGGGUGAGUGAUGACGGCCUUCGGGUUGUAAAACUCUGUGAUCCGGGACGAAAAGGCAGAGUGCGAAGAACAAACUGCAUUGACGGUACCGGAAAAGCAAGCCACGGCUAACUACGUG